AGUGAACGCUGGCGGUAGGCCUAACACAUGCAAGUCGAACGGCAGCACAGGAGAGCUUGCUCUCUGGGUGGCGAGUGGCGGACGGGUGAGGAAUACAUCGGAAUCUACUCUGUCGUGGGGGAUAACGUAGGGAAACUUACGCUAAUACCGCAUACGACCUACGGGUGAAAGCAGGGGAUCUUCGGACCUUGCGCGAUUGAAUGAGCCGAUGUCGGAUUAGCUAGUUGGCGGGGUAAAGGCCCACCAAGGCGACGAUCCGUAGCUGGUCUGAUAGGAUGAUCAGCCACACUGGACCAGAGACACGGUCCAGACUCCUACGGGAGGCAGCAGUGGGGAAUAUUGGACAAUGGGCGCAAGCCUGAUCCAGCCAUACCGCGUGGGUGAAGAAGGCCUUCGGGUUGUAAAGCCCUUUUGUUGGGAAAGAAAUCCAGCUGGCUAAUACCCGGUUGGGAUGACGGUACCCAAAGAAUAAGCACCGGCUAACUUCGUGCCAGCCGCCGCCGUAA
This 506-nucleotide ribosomal RNA is filed under the name uncultured bacterium. Its description in RNAcentral is "partial 16S ribosomal RNA". It matches the Rfam family "Bacterial small subunit ribosomal RNA", at positions 29 to 523 of the family's 1533-position model. The record is from RNAcentral.